Molecule: long non-coding RNA, 98 nt
Organism: Drosophila navojoa
Lineage: Eukaryota; Metazoa; Arthropoda; Insecta; Diptera; Drosophilidae
Source: RefSeq, a predicted model, not a curated record
GAGAGAGAGAGGUGAAUGGAGGCAAUUGCCGGGGCUCUGGGAGCCGGAAUGUAAAUGACUCCAGUAGGUAGCCCCAAGAUGGCGCUGGGUGUCACGAA